This 68-nucleotide transfer RNA is filed under the name Dipodomys ordii (Ord's kangaroo rat). It matches the Rfam family "tRNA", at positions 1 to 62 of the family's 71-position model. Rfam says of the family: Transfer RNA (tRNA) molecules are approximately 80 nucleotides in length. Their secondary structure includes four short double-helical elements and three loops (D, anti-codon, and T loops). Lineage: Eukaryota; Metazoa; Chordata; Mammalia; Rodentia; Heteromyidae. The record is from Rfam by way of RNAcentral.
GGGAAGGUGGCUCAGUGGUAGAGCGCUUGCCUUGCAUGCAUGAGGCCCUGGGUUUGAUUGAUUUCUCA